RNAcentral lists this ribosomal RNA (301 nucleotides) under uncultured bacterium. RNAcentral's name for it is "partial 16S ribosomal RNA". It matches the Rfam family "Bacterial small subunit ribosomal RNA", at positions 509 to 809 of the family's 1533-position model. The record is from RNAcentral.
CAGUAGCCGCGGGAAUACGGAGGGUGCAAGCGUUAAUCGGAAUUACUGGGCGUAAAGCGCACGCAGGCGGUUUGUUAAGUCAGAUGUGAAAUCCCCGAGCUUAACUUGGGAACUGCAUUUGAAACUGGCAAGCUAGAGUCUUGUAGAGGGGGGUAGAAUUCCAGGUGUAGCGGUGAAAUGCGUAGAGAUCUGGAGGAAUACCGAUGGCGAAGGCAGCCAUCUGGCCUAAUACUGACGCUGAGGUACGAAAGCAUGGGGAGCAAACAGGAUUAGAGACCCCGGUAGUCCCUGUCUCUUAUAA